GACGAACGCUGGCGGCGUGCUUAACACAUGCAAGUCGAACGGAAAGGCCCUGCCUUUGUGGGGUGCUCGAGUGGCGAACGGGUGAGUAACACGUGAGUAACCUGCCUUGACUUUGGGAUAACUUCAGGAAACUGGGGCUAAUACCGGAUAGGAGCUCCUGCUGCAUGGUGGGGGUUGGAAAGUUUCGGCGGUUGGGGAUGGACUCGCGGCUUAUCAGCUUGUUGGUGGGGUAGUGGCUUACCAAGGCUUUGACGGGUAGCCGGCCUGAGAGGGUGACCGGCCACAUUGGGACUGAGAUACAGCCCAGACUCCUACGGGAGGCAGCAGUGGGGAAUAUUGCACAAUGGGCGGAAGCCUGAUGCAGCAACGCCGCGUGCGGGAUGACGGCCUUCGGGUUGUAAACCGCUUUCGCCUGUGACGAAGCGUGAGUGACGGUAAUGGGUAAAGAAGCACCGGCUAACUACGUG
RNAcentral lists this ribosomal RNA (467 nucleotides) under uncultured bacterium. RNAcentral describes it as "partial 16S ribosomal RNA". It matches the Rfam family "Bacterial small subunit ribosomal RNA", at positions 28 to 507 of the family's 1533-position model. The record is from RNAcentral.